This 646-nucleotide small RNA is filed under the name Pongo abelii (Sumatran orangutan). RNAcentral describes it as "retained intron". Lineage: Eukaryota; Metazoa; Chordata; Mammalia; Primates; Hominidae. The record is from RNAcentral.
GUUGCAGGCACCCAGGUGUUGACUGCGUGUCCAUUGUUGUUAUAGUUGGUUGAAUCUGUCCCAUUAAUUCUCCUUCCCCAGGCAAGACUCGUGGCUGUGACCCAUGGGCCUCUGAGGAGGCGUUGUAAGUCCGCCCAGCUCCCCACUUGCUGUGCUCUUACUCAAUGCGAAGGGAACCAAGGUACCAGGGCCAAGUGGGUCCAGACAUCCACACGGAUUCUGAAAGGGCAGGUCAAGCAGGCACGUGGGGCCCAGGUUACCCCUUAUUCCCUGCUGUGACAUGGGAAGCUGGGAAGGGCUGGGGGUUGGGGUAUCAUGGGAUGUGCUUCCUUAACGGCUCCUGUGUGUCACUGCCAGACUUUGUCCAGCCAUCAGCCACGGCCUCUCGACAGCACCAAGAUGGAAGUCAAAGGUCAGCUGAUCAGCUCUCCUACCUUCAAUGCCCCAGCUGCCCUGUUCGGAGAGGCUGCCCCCCAGGUGAAGUCAGAGCGUCUGCGGGGGCUGCUUGACCGGCAGCGGACCCUGCAGGAGGCCCUGAGCCUGAAACUUCAGGAGCUCCGCAAAGUGUGUCUCCAGGAGGCGGUGAGGGCCGGGCCCUAGGGGUAUCAGGCGGGGAGGUUGGGAGGAGGUGAGGAGCUGGGGCCCC